This 616-nucleotide ribosomal RNA is filed under the name Orbilia myriofusiclava. RNAcentral describes it as "eukaryotic LSU rRNA". The stretch from base 248 to 401 matches the Rfam family "5.8S ribosomal RNA". Lineage: Eukaryota; Fungi; Ascomycota; Orbiliomycetes; Orbiliales; Orbiliaceae. The record is from RNAcentral.
GUUUCCGUAGGUGAACCUGCGGAAGGAUCAUUACAGUACUACCCCGAAGUCCGGCUUCACAGCCGGGAGGGACGUUAAACACCCUGUGAACUUUAGACUGUGCUUCGGUAGCUGACUUGGCGUAUUGGAAGGGAAUAGCUACCCCAACCACUGUCACUCGUCGUUAAGCCUGCCGGUUAACCAAACCAAACCAAACUUUAUGAAUAAAACUUGUCUGAAACCAUAUCAUUUUCGAAUGAAAAAUUAAAACUUUCAACAACGGAUCUCUUGGUUCUCGCAUCGAUGAAGAACGCAGCGAAACGCGAUAGUUAAUGUGAAUUGCAGAAUUCAGUGAAUCAUCGAGUCUUUGAACGCACAUUGCGCCCAUUGGUAUUCCGAUGGGCAUGUCUGUUUGAGCGUCAUUGCAACACUUCGGUUCCGACCGGUCUUGGGCCCUGCCGCACCUCUUAGCUGAGGCGGCUGGCCUUAAAGUUGCACGCUCUGCGGGCUACCAGAACCCGAACGAACAUAGUAAACGCUAACUGUUCAACUAAGGCUCAGGUCAGCUUCGCCUGAACAAUGAACCCCCUUUCUAAGGUUUGACCUCAGAUCAGACAAGGAUACCCGCUGAACUUAA